AAAGGAAGAAAAGGGAAGAAAAGAAGAAGAACAAAAACCUAGCUAAGAAAUUCAAGAGAAAUUCAUAAAAUUUCAAAGAAUCAAGUGACAAAAGGUAAGAUUUUUCAAUUUUAGCUUGUGAUCUACCUUUCCUAUGCAUUCUUUUUCAUUUUCCGUGGUUGAGAAUCAAGUUUGCAUGAGGAUACCUUUGCUGGCCGGACAUGGGGGGAGGAGUUUUGAACUUGGAUUUGGUUAGAUUUCAAUAUAUUCUAGUGUUUUUAGUUAGUGAUGUGUAGCAUGAAAAGCAAAAAAGAAAAAUUCAUUUUCUUCCAUCACCCUCCAUUGGCCGAAUCUUCCUUAUGGUGUGUUGAUGGUGGACUUGAUUUUAUUUCAAGUGAUUUGGUUAGGAAUUAAUGAUUUAUGGUGUAAAAAUCAAGUGAGAAAAAUCAUAGUGUUCAUGCACCCACCAUGGCCGAAAUUCCCAAGAAAAAAUGUGAAGAUGAUCUUACUAAAUUUUAUGUUACUUGACUUGAAUUUGAUGAUUUGGAGUAUUGGGAGAGAAAUGGAGUUAUUUGGAGUUAAAUUGGAUGUAUUGGCUAAUUAAUCGGGUGAUAGAUCGAAUUAGUCCAAUAACAUUUUAUUUAGGUACAUAAUUGAAUUUAUAUUGAACAACGUGUCUAGAUAGUUACUCGAGUAUUUCACAUCCCAUUUCAUGCAUUAGUAUAGAGCCUGAAUUGGUUUUACAACGGUUUAGCACAAAUGUAGCAAAUUGCUUAUUGUGCAUAAUGUCUAGGUGGUGAGCAUUCUCGCAAGAGUAAAGAGGUAGUUUUCGAGGAUCAAGAAUCAGAGUAUCCCGAAUUCGAUUCCCAUUACAGUGAAUAACCUUAUUAUCAUCUUAAUUAUCUAAAGUAUGUUUUUUAUCUGAUAUUGUAAUUUUAUGGAAAAUGUGUUUAAAUGAAAUGAUUUUAUAAAUUGUUUUGAAAUUUAAUGAUGACUUGAAAAUGGAGUAAUUGGAGACUACUUGCUAUAUUGUAAAUUAUGUUUUCAAUUGAAUGGCUUAUGAUAAUGUGGGCAUGAAUGGCUAGAUGGGUAUUUGUGUUGAAAAUGUAUAAACUAUUGUUUGCCUUGAUAGGCUAGAUAAUGAUAAAAUUGCCAUGUCAUGCUGUUGAAUUUUUAUUGAAUUGGUGGGUUAUAGAUUGGUCACUACAGUGGCGAGUUCUGUGGACCAGCUUAUUAGAGGGGCACGAAAUUCGGGUAUAUUCUUACCUCGAUCGGAGAGGCACAUAGGGUAACUCCUGAGGUAAAACUUUAGAGUUCACUUCACGCUGAACCACCACGUGAGGGUGAACUCUGCCAACGCCAAGGAACGGCUAUGUUUUCAAAAUAAAAAACAUGAUUUAUGCGUACAUGACUUUUUAACAGCCUUGGAAGACUUGGUUGGUAUAGCCCCAAGCCAAGGUAUCCCUGACAACUGAGUAUGAGAAUGAUUUUGGCACGAGCCAAGCUUUUCAGGAAAUCAUAAGCCUCGUUGUUUAUUUAGUUGAAAUGAAUCUAUUUUAUCUUAUUAAAAUGAGUUCGAAAUGCUGUGAAUCAGUUUUAUGCUAAUCUAUUUUAUCUGUGUCCAUUUACUCUGCUUUAGAUAUUUUAGAUGGUAUUUUUUUACUCAUUGGGAUUAUAUAAUCUCACCACCCUCCUUUCCACCCAUUUCAGGCUCAGGAUAGUCAGUAGAUAGCUCAUUUCGUUGAGGGUUACAGUUGGACUUGCAUCCUCAAAAACUGUAGGUUCACAGCCUUCAUUACUUUUAGUCAUUCGGGGGCCCACAUGUCAUUGUUAAAUGUUUUGAAUACCUGGCUGCGUGUGCUACUGUAUGUAGGAAUUUAUUUUUCUUUUAUGCUGUAAAAAUUAUUUACGUA
This 1892-nucleotide long non-coding RNA is filed under the name Theobroma cacao (cacao). RNAcentral's name for it is "long non-coding RNA (TCAC_LNC005858)". The record is from RNAcentral. Lineage: Eukaryota; Viridiplantae; Streptophyta; Magnoliopsida; Malvales; Malvaceae.